Molecule: long non-coding RNA, 3419 nt
Organism: Neofelis nebulosa (Clouded leopard)
Lineage: Eukaryota; Metazoa; Chordata; Mammalia; Carnivora; Felidae
Exons: 2
Source: RefSeq, a predicted model, not a curated record
GGCUCUGUGAAGGCCUCCUAGGCGCAGCGCUUCGUUCCUGCGCCGGUGGGGUGGCCGUUUUGAGUCGUGCACUAGGGACCUUGAAGGCUAGGGUGCGGCUUCUCCUCUGCAGACACUGAGCUGCGAGUACUUGGCUCUCCCUCUUCUCUCCCUCUAUGACCCGAACCUGGGAGCCUGUCCAGCUGCAUGCGCUCCGUCGAAUUUCCCCUAGUAGGAACCAGUUUUCCUCGGCAGGUACUUUUCUGCCAGAAGCCGGUCAGCGUCGCAUUUGGACUCUCCCAUGGAAUCUGGACUAAAGCCUGCCGACCUCACCCAGCUCUACAUAGCCCUGUGAUGAGCAGCAGCUUCUGAGUCAGAACUCUGCAGGAGUCUCGCGGAAGAAUGCAUAUUUAGCUCUGGUCCCGUAGAAGGAACAUCCAAACUCAGUGCUGGAAGAAGGUAUUUGAAUUGACGAUCUAUGAUAUUGUCCUUAGAGACAACAGAAGAAUUUCUUUAUUCAAUAAAUAUCAGCAUCUAGUGCAUGCUGGUCACUGUCGAGAUGCAGCAGGACAAAAAAGACAAGGUCAGCCUACGUGGGAGGAAUGAGGAGUGGCCAAUGUGUUGUUUAGAAUGUUGUAAAUAUUUGCUGUUUCAAAAAGAGUUGAUAGGGACUGUUAGAUGAAAAGCUUACUCUCCACUCAAGGAAGUGAAAAGACAACCUGCGGAAUGGGAGAAAAUAUUUGCAAUUCAUAUAUCCAAUAAAGUCUGGUAACCAGAAUAUAUAAAGAACUCUUACAACUCAGCAACAAAAACAUGAAAAACACAACUAAAAAGUGAACAAAGAAUCUGAAUAGAUAUUUCUUCAAAAAAAAUAUGCAAGUGGUCAGCAAGCAUAUGAAAAGAUGUCCAACAACAAUCGUUACUAGGGAAAUGCAAAUCCAAACUACAAUGAGACUCCAUUUUACAUACACUAGGCUAGCUAUAACAGAAAAUAUGGAAAAUAACAAAUGUUAGCCAGGAAGUGGAGAAAAUGGAACUCUCUGGGCUCCUGGGUGGCUCAGUUGGUUAAGCGUCUGACUUAAGCUCAGGUCAUGAUCUCACGGUUUGGGAGUUUGAGCCCUGCAUUGGCUGUGCACUGAUAGGGUGUAGCCCGCUUGGAAUUCUCUCUCUCUCCCCCACCCCCUCAAAAUAAACAAAUAAAAAUAAAUAAAUAAAGUGGAACUCUCAUACAUGGUUGGUGAGAAUGUGAAAAGGCACAAACCACUUUGGGAAACUGUUUUGCAGCUCCUUAAGUUACCACCUACUGGAUAUCCAUAUGCAAAAGAGCAGUUACACUUUUUGGGUACCUGGGUGGCUCAGUGGGUUAAGCAUCAGACUCUUGGUUUCGGCUCAGGUUAUGAUCUCACAGUUCCUGGUUUCAGCUCAGGUGGUGAUCUUCCUGAGUUCAAGCCCCACAUCGGGGUCUGUUCAAACAGUGCAGAGCUGGGGCGCCUGGGUGGCUCAGUCGGUUAAGUGGCCGACUUCGGCCCAGGUCAUGAUCUCGCGGUCCGUGAGUUCGAGCCCCGCGUCGGGCUCUGUGCUGACAGCUCAGAGCCUGGAGCCUGUUUCAGAUUCUGUGUCUCCCUCUCUCUGACCCUCCCCUGUUCAUGCUUUGUCUCUCUCUGUCUCAAAAAUAAAUAAACGUUAAUAAAAAAAAAUUAAAAAACAAAACAAAACAGUGCAGAGCCUGCUUGGGAUUCUUUCUGUCUCCCUCUCUCUGCCCCUCCCUUGCUUGUGCUCUCUCACUCUCUCUCUAAAAAAAAAAAAAAAAAAAAAAGAGCAAUUCCACUUUGAGAUUUAUACCCAAAGAGAAAGAACCACCAGAUGGCACUGUUAUUUUAAAAUUCAGAAUUCUAUAAAGCAAAAUGUUAAUUUAUUAACAAUAUUAUGGUAUAAUAUAAUCUGACUUGCAUUAAGGCAAAAAUAGCAUGAAGAGCUACAGGGCUCCCAUAAAGGGGAAAUAGGAUGUAUAAAUUUUAAAUUCCUUAAAGAAAAUACUUUGUAUAAUUAAAAAACAGGAUGUGAUAUUCUAGGGGCUCCUGGGUGGCUCAGUUGGUUAAGCAUCCGACUUCAGCUCAGAUCACAGUCUCACAGUUCAAGAGUUUGAGCCCUGCAUUGGGCUCUGUGCUGACAGCUCAGAGCCUGGAGCCUGCUAAGGAUUCUGUGUCUCCCUCUCUGUGCUGCUCCCCCACUCAUGCUCUGUCUCUCUCUGUUUCAAAAAUAAACAUAAAAAAAAUUUUUUUAAUAAAAAAUAAACAGGAUGUGAUAUCCUAAUUCAUCUUUUAUUAUUUAAAUUAAUUACUAAUUAGUUACUUUUACCAACAUUAAGAAGUAAUUUUCAAACACAUGGGAAGUUGAAAAUGCAUACUUAAAUUGAAAAAUUAAAAGACAUGACACUGAGAACAACUUUAAUCUUAAGUUAUUAAGGACUCUUCUAACCCUAUGUUGCAUAAGAAUAUAUAUUUUUAAGUGUGUAAUGCAGUAACAUUCAUGUUUGUUGGCCACAUCCACAUAAAGAAAGAUAUUUUCAUCCAGAUCCAGUAAACACAAUUUUCUAUUUUAUUGAAUCUAUUAUAUUCUAUCAUAUUAAGCAGAUCAUAACUUACUAAAUUAUUUUGAUGACUCCAGUGGAUCAUAGCCUACUGUUUGGAAAACACAGUUUCAGUGUGUUAUAAUUUACCAUUGUGAUUUUUCAACUUGCCUUUUAAGAUAUUUAGCCUUCUCCAGUCAAAUAUAAAAUUACUAAUUAAUGGUCAGAGGCCAAGAACACAAUGCAGAUGCUUUCAAUGGCUUUGGAAGAGUCAGGGCUCUUGAAACUUUCCAUUUCCUUCACCCACAGGACAGCUCACCCUGGUCCAGGUUAAACAGGGGAAGUCCCUGGGAUUUUGAGGGUAUGGCAGCUCCUCUGACAAUGUACCAAAUCUUCCCCCAUUGGACCGGUAGAAGUAACUUCUGUUGCUCAAAGAAUUAUUACUAGUCGCUAUUUUACUAGUAACUGUUGGAUAUUAACCUCAAUGCUGUAUUUUAAUGUCUUUAUCUUUCUGAUGACUACACCAAUCUAGAGAAUGUGAAAAUUUCCCUCUAAUACCAUCCUUCAGAGAUAAUCAUUAACAGUUUGGCAUGUUUCCUUUAAGACUUUGAAAUUUUUAUAUAGGUUUUGAUCAUUUGUAAAUCAUAGGGGAGAUUGUUUUGGAAACUGUUUUUGUUUUACUUAAUAUAUCAUAGACAUCUUUACAAGCUUACAACUAACGGUUUACCUUGACUUUUUAAAAAGAGGUACAUAGUUUUCUUUUAUAUAAAUAUACUGAAAUUAAUUUUAUCAUUCUCAUUUGUGAUGGACAUUUUGUCUCAACAUCAUCCCUGUUAUAAACAGUCUUGCAAUAAAAGCUUCUGUGCAUGCA